Solanum pennellii is the source of this 1183-nucleotide long non-coding RNA. RefSeq lists it as uncharacterized. The record is from RefSeq and is a predicted model, not a curated record. NCBI's taxonomy places the organism in Eukaryota, Viridiplantae, Streptophyta, Magnoliopsida, Solanales, Solanaceae. The transcript has 3 exons.
UAAAUGGUGACACCCCAUUUAAGAAAUCAUGCGUACACCACCGACAACAAUACACUCGUAUAAUAGGUGUAGCCACGCCCCUCGUCCUUUCUCCAAGAGAUUUCAUCACUUCGAGUUUCAAGGGCACUUAAAUCAAUCAAAGUUGUCCACCUCUCCUCCUCUCCAUUCCGAUCUGUUGAAGUUUGAAAUCAAUUGGUAUUUCUUGUUCAUGAAAGAGGAAUUUUGAAUUUUGAAUUUUAAAUUCAUCAUUAUCCCAUUCUUUCAUUUGUUUCCCUCCCUCAAUUCGAUCUAAUAUUUCCUCUAUAUAAAGUCAUGUUCUCUUUAUUUUUUAAGGUUAACCACAACUUACCUACCUACAAAGAGAACAACUUACAAAAGGGUUUAGGAAUGGAAAUAGAUAUAGAUGUAUAUAAGAAAUGCACCCAAAAUAGAGAGGAGAACUAGUUGGGAUCUUAAUUGCACCUCGUUUUCCGUUCAUCACACUUCCUAUUUCAUUGGAAUUCUGUCGGUGGUGGAACCGCUUUGUUGUUAUCCUAGAACGUUACUUCAACAAAGGAUUAAAUUGAUGAGAAAAUAAAGAUAUUUGAAGCUAAAAAAAUUAAAGAUAGAGGAUUGAAGAAGGAAAUCAAACAUACAACUUAAUGGAUUAAAGUGAAUAUUUUAUUAAUAUUUAUGUAUGUGCAGAAGUUUUUUAGAAACUAAAGAACUGCACAUAUGAGUUGUGCCACGUAGCAACAUUUCAAUAUCUCCAAUUAUGUGAGGCGGCGGACGAAGCGCAGUGUCACGAGGAAUCCGAUUCCGUCAAGGUUUUGGAUUUCCAAUUUGAUCAGGGAAAGUCUGAGGACCCAAGAAUUUGAAGCAAGGGAGCAUGGUUGAGCUUAAGUGUGGGGUGCAUACUACCCUUAAAAAAAAUUGAGAGAACAUGCUACAAGGAGUUUUCCUAACCCUUAUUUUUAAUUCUGUUUGAUACUUUAGGGACAUAGCAUCUUUUCAAGUAUGGGGUGAGGGAUUCUUCCACAUAUUUUGGUUAGGAUGAAGUGUGCGUUAUAUUUGUUUAAUAUAGUUCUGUUGAAAAAAAACAUGAAAAAAUUUUGGACAGUGAAGUUCGGAUCCAGUUUGUGUCUGCUCGCCGACCUGGUACAUAAGAAAUCGUAAAAAAAAUCGAAUAUGUUAUUUUGAGUCA